This 571-nucleotide long non-coding RNA is filed under the name Phoenix dactylifera (date palm). RNAcentral's name for it is "long non-coding RNA (PDAC_LNC016981)". The record is from RNAcentral. Lineage: Eukaryota; Viridiplantae; Streptophyta; Magnoliopsida; Arecales; Arecaceae.
CCGCCGAGGGCCACGGUCGGCCGCCGAGGACCGACCGGAGCCACCAGCCACCCCCCCUCCUUCUCUUUCUUCUUCUUCUUCUUCUCCUUCUUCCUCUUCUUCUUCUUCCUCUUCUUCUUCUUCUUCUUCCGGCUGGGUGCUUUCCUUGCAUCGUUUUCUGUGCCCUGUUGGUGUCUCAAACCAGGCACAGAUGAACUUUGGGUGUUUCCUUGCAUCGAUUUCCGUGCCCUGUUGGUGUCACAAACCAGACACAAAUGAACUUUGAUCUGAUUGAACCAUCUUCUGACUGUGGAUCUGGUCUAGACUUGGGUUGGUCUAAUUUGAGUGUAAUCUGGUUUGUUAAGAUUUAAUCUAAUCUGGUCUGGUCAGACCUGGUUUGGGUUGGGCUAGGGACCUGUUUUUGGGCUGAGUUGGGUCUGAUUGGAUUUGUGGGCUGGUUUGGUAUGGGCCUGAGAUCUGAUCUGAACCUGUUAUCCGGUUUGGUUCAAUUGGGCCUAAUCUGUUUUGGGCCACAAUUGACUUGGGUCUAAAGGAUUCUGAUUUUAGGGUAUAUGUUUGAUCUUGGGGGCCC